CAAUAAAAAUAUAUUAAAAAAAUAAAGUUGGGACGAUAGAGAUUAGCAUGACUCCUGUGCAAGGAUGACAUGCAAAUUGGUGAAGCAUUCCAUUAAAAA
This 99-nucleotide small nuclear RNA is filed under the name Myotis brandtii (Brandt's bat). The record is from RNAcentral. Lineage: Eukaryota; Metazoa; Chordata; Mammalia; Chiroptera; Vespertilionidae.